AGCUUUGCGCAGUGGCAGUAUCAUAGCUAAUGAGGUUUAUCCAAGGCGCAGUUAUUGCUAAUUGAAUU
RNAcentral lists this small nuclear RNA (68 nucleotides) under Canis lupus familiaris (dog). Its description in RNAcentral is "U4 spliceosomal RNA". It matches the Rfam family "U4 spliceosomal RNA", at positions 1 to 68 of the family's 138-position model. From Rfam's summary of the family: U4 small nuclear RNA (U4 snRNA) is a component of the major U2-dependent spliceosome. The structure of U4 snRNA from yeast and human has been reported. U4 snRNA presents a k-turn RNA motif in the 5p-SL related to recognition of Snu13 protein. The record is from Rfam by way of RNAcentral. Lineage: Eukaryota; Metazoa; Chordata; Mammalia; Carnivora; Canidae. RNAcentral also lists the same sequence under 1 other name.